Molecule: long non-coding RNA, 1623 nt
Organism: Musa acuminata AAA Group (dessert banana)
Lineage: Eukaryota; Viridiplantae; Streptophyta; Magnoliopsida; Zingiberales; Musaceae
Exons: 2
Source: RefSeq, a predicted model, not a curated record
UUGAGUAGAAUUCUUGGUUUGAAAUAAAUUAAGGAGUUCUAAAAUCUGUUGAUCUGAGAGGCAUUAUAGGGCUAAUAAGGACUUGAUAAAUAUACUAGUAAUAAGGUGAGCUUAAACAUUUUGAAUUAGUGUAUAAUUUCGAUAAAAUUAAUAUGUCAAUUAUUUCAUUCGAUCAUUCUCUAAUAGGAAAGGAUAAUUAGAUAUGACAUCAUAAAGGAGGAUGAUUCAAACUAGUAUGCACAGGAUUGUCCAAGGUGUCUUUAAGAUAGAAACUUCAAGUACUUCUGGGAUGAAAACUGAGUUUAUGAGAGAUUUUUCGACUCGGUCCCUGUAUUACCCAAGUUAAUAACCUGAAAUGUAUGAGUCGCACAUGAGUAGUCAAAAGAAGUAAUCCCUGCUCAUCAUGUUGAAGACAAGUUUUUAUAUCUAAUCACAAAGUGACAGAAUACUUUAUAGAAUAUUUCGUGGGGGAGACAACUUCUAAUCACCUUCAACGAUCCCCUUUUGGCCUCUUGUCCACGUGGGCAACACGAGAGGGGACAUGAACUAUUUGCCUUAGACCUGUUUUGAAAUCUUAUCCACGCGGGCAAAUGGGUGAAAGAUGAUUUGAAACUUUUCUCUCUACUAAGGACACACAUUGGUUGGGCGAGAAGUUUUAUGACCUCCCCAUCUCUUCGGGACCUCUACGUCUCAAACGAAGGUAACGAUUGGCCUUCUCAACCUCCACACCUUAGAUAAAGACAAGGAUUAGCCCUCUUAACCUCCACACCUCACAUAUCUUGGAAUUACCUUAGAUAAGUUUAUACAUAUAGAUUCGGAUCAUGUCGGAUUGGUAAAUACGAUCAACCAUAUAUAUUUUUUCCUAGUAGCGGUAUUCUAAAGACCACCAUUCCCAUGACAGGACAAAGAGGGAUGAUGUGCAGAGAACCAGCUCCGUCAAAAGAUGAGAGACAGCUCAAAAUAUGGGUCAUGCAACUGUCAUGCCAGCUAAAAGUAUUGCACCAACUUGUGGACAGCCCCUUCUCCUCAAGCAAAGAAAAGAAAACCCUACAGCUUGUGAAUCCAUGGCAGAAGAAGGAAGCCAGCCUGUGCAGUCCAAAACUAUACACAGCCUUCCCUUAUAAAAGGCUCUCCUUCUUCCAGAACCAUAACUGCAUUCCUACCAUCUCCUUCUCUACUUUUCCCUCCUUCCGUUAGUAGCAGCAAUGGAGGCAGUUCUCAAGCUCAGGCUCUUUGCCGUCGCCAUGAUCACAGUCGUGAUGGCCUCUUCCUUAGUGGAGAAGGCCGCCGCGGCCGAGGCUCCCGCCCCCAGCCCCACCUCCGGCACAGCAACCUCGUCGUUCUCGGCCACUGCUGCUGCUGCUGCUGCUUUGUUCACCCUCACCUUCGGCUAUCUUUUCUGCUGAGCGACAUGUUCUUCGAAUCCUCUCUAUUGUAGCUUCAUUCUUCAUUCCUCUGUUGCCAUGGGUGGAUCUUGUGUGUGUAAUGGAUGGAGGGGAAGAGGAUAAUGCAUGUAUGACGAUAGUAAAUGGUGGGUUUGUAUCAUUUCCAUGGUGUUUAUAAUGAUAUGAUUUGUUUUUUAGCAAAUUUCCUAAAAUAAUCAAGUUUUUAUUUUGUUUUUCA